This 520-nucleotide ribosomal RNA is filed under the name uncultured Archaeospora. RNAcentral describes it as "SSU rRNA". It matches the Rfam family "Eukaryotic small subunit ribosomal RNA", at positions 569 to 1093 of the family's 1831-position model. Lineage: Eukaryota; Fungi; Glomeromycota; Glomeromycetes; Archaeosporales; Archaeosporaceae. The record is from RNAcentral.
AGCAGCCGCGGUAAUUCCAGCUCCAAUAGCGUAUAUUAAAGUUGUUGCAGUUAAAAAGCUCGUAGUUGAAUUUUAGGCCUGGCCGGGCGGUCCGUCUUUGGCGAGUACUGUUCUGUGUUGGGUCCACCUUCUGGUGAACCAGUAUGUCCUUUAUUGGGUGUUUUGGGGAGCCAGGACCAUUACCUUGAAAAAAUUAGGGUGUUUAAAGCAGGCAUUUGCUUGAAUAGAUUAGCAUGGAAUAAUAGAAUAGGACGUUGUGGUUCUAUUUUGUUGGUUUCUAGGACCACCGUAAUGAUUAAUAGGGAUAGUUGGGGGCAUUAGUAUUCAAUUGUCAGAGGUGAAAUUCUUGGAUUUAUUGAAGACUAACUAUUGCGAAAGCAUUUGCCAAGGAUGUUUUCAUUAAUCAAGAACGAAAGUUAGGGGAUCGAAGACGAUCAGAUACCGUCGUAGUCUUAACCAUAAACUAUGCCGACUAGGAAUCGGGCGACGUUAUUUUCAUGACUCGCUCGGCGCCUUAUGG